CGCUACUCAGAAUUAGAAAGCACAGAGUAUCCAAGAGAGAGAGAAGAGGAGAGAGAAAGAGAUAGUCUUGUAUGGUCAAAUGUUGUUAUAAAGCCUCUGAAACUUUGAGGACCAUUUCAACACACUCUAUCUCUCUAAGAACCUUGGGGUUUCUUUGUUUUGGGAUCACAAUAUUUUUUUAGGGCAAAUCAUUCCAGCCUCUCCAAUCGCCUCCAUCUCUAUACUCGUUCUCAACUCUGAACUUGCCCUCUCUCUCUCUCUCUCUGCAACUGCAAACAACAAAAUCUACAAGAAUCAGAAGUUCAAAACCCAUAUCGGCAUAUCAUUUCAGAUUGUUUAAAAAAUUCAAAACCCAUAUCUUUCAGUUUCCAUCGCCCGCUGUUCCAGUUCGGGUUCGCCGUUUGCAAGCUUCAGCCGCUGGCUCUCAACCCUCAAGCUUGCCCCCCUCUCUCUGCAACUGCUAACUUGGUUAGCAUCGGGCCUUCACAUUUAGCAAGAACAAGGUUCAAGAAACAUGUCUCCUCAGUCAUCAGGUCUCUUUUCUAAAAGAAGAGAGUUGAUGGGAAUGAGUGGAGUAGGGGAAAAAGUAAAUAAGGGUUGGCUAAGGAUUUGGGGAUUUUGAAUCUGCUGCUAGGGCUUGGUGUUGUGGGGCAGCAAUGGUCCUCCAACAGGAACACUGCAAAAAUUGAAAGGAAGAAAUUGUUCCUUCAGAAAAUGAAACUCCAACUCGUCUUUUGGAUCAAGUUGAAAAACUAGUUUAUUGAAAGGGGAGAGCUGCAAGUUGCCCGAGGAAGUUGUCAAUGCUUUGGCACAGUUGGUUCAUCAUGGUAUCCCAGUGGAGAGAUCGACCACUACAAAUUCUACUCAUGGGAUUGGGAUGGCAUUCCUUGGUUUGGCCACGUUGAUUGCAGCCUGGCUUGCCUUAGGUCUCCAGAUCCUUUCACAUUUGAGGGCUAUAACAGUGGCUGAAGAGCAAAGAAAGGCGGCCAAAGAAGAAUCCGAUCAUGCUAAACAAAUUCUAGCAGCUCACCAGAAAUCAUCAAAUGCGAUUCUGGGGCAUAGGCCGAAGGGGUCGCAUGAUUGAAGGAAGAAGGAUCCCAUCCUUUUUCCCAUCAUUUUACCGCCGCACUGAGUGACUUUUUGCUUUAUGUAUCUUUUGAAGAACAAAUUAUUGUCUGUUUGAUUUAUUUAUGCGUUGAAAUUUUAGCUUUAUGCAAAAACAAUUACUGUCUGAAUUCUGCAUCUUUUGGUUUGAUUUAUGGUGAACAUAUUGUCUGAA
Cornus florida is the source of this 1279-nucleotide long non-coding RNA. RefSeq lists it as uncharacterized. The transcript has 7 exons. Lineage: Eukaryota; Viridiplantae; Streptophyta; Magnoliopsida; Cornales; Cornaceae. The record is from RefSeq and is a predicted model, not a curated record.